GAACCUGUAAAGAGUGACCGGUCUAAAGAUGUCAUCAUUCAUUUUAAAGUCCAGCAGGCAUCUGCUGCAGAGAGGAACCAACCUGAACCUGAACCUGGACCCAGCUGUGUGCCCUUAAAGAGAAUCCCAGUGAAGGAUCUUAUUUGUAGAUUUGAACAAAGACAGCCUUCUGACACAAAGAUCCAGCAGAGACUCAAACCUGAACCUGAACCUGUAAAGAGGGACCGGUCUAAAGAUGUCAUCAUUCAUUUUAAAGUCCAGCAGGCACCUGCUGCAGAGAGGUGAGCUGUUAGUAACAUGAACUCUU
Long non-coding RNA from Archocentrus centrarchus (flier cichlid), 307 nucleotides. RefSeq lists it as uncharacterized. The record is from RefSeq and is a predicted model, not a curated record. Lineage: Eukaryota; Metazoa; Chordata; Actinopteri; Cichliformes; Cichlidae. The transcript has 3 exons.